GGCUCUGUGGUGAAAUUCAUGUUGAGUUGCAAACUCAUUGAUGUACAUUAGAAGUGUGCCGGAGCCU
Molecule: transfer RNA, 67 nt
Filed under: Herpetotheres cachinnans
Lineage: Eukaryota; Metazoa; Chordata; Aves; Falconiformes; Falconidae
Description: tRNA-Cys
Source: RNAcentral